AUGCAAGUCGAACGGAAAGGCCCUGCUUGCAGGGUACUCGAGUGGCGAACGGGUGAGUAACACGUGGGUGAUCUGCCCUGUACUUUGGGAUAAGCCUGGGAAACUGGGUCUAAUACCGAAUAUGACCACUUCUUGGAUGGGGUGGUGGAAAGCUUUUGCGGUAUGGGAUGAGCUCGCGGCCUAUCAGCUUGUUGGUGGGGUAAUGGCCUACCAAGGCGUCGACGGGUAGCCGGCCUGAGAGGGUGUACGGCCACAUUGGGACUGAGAUACGGCCCAGACUCCUACGGGAGGCAGCAGUGGGGAAUAUUGCACAAUGGGCGCAAGCCUGAUGCAGCGACGCCGCGUGGGGGAUGACGGCCUUCGGGUUGUAAACUCCUUUCGCAACCGACGAAGCUUUUGUGACGGUAGGUUGAGAAGAAGCACCGGCUAACUACGUGCCAGCAGCCGCGGUAAUACGUAGGGUGCGAGCGUUGUCCGGAAUUACUGGGCGUAAAGAGCUCGUAGGUGGUUUGUCGCGUCGUUUGUGGAAUACCGCAGCUUAACUGCGGGGUUGCAGGCGAUACGGGCAUAACUUGAGUGCUGUAGGGGAGACUGGAAUUCCUGGUGUAGCGGUGGAAUGCGCAGAUAUCAGGAGGAACACCGAUGGCGAAGGCAGGUCUCUGGGCAGUAACUGACGCUGAGGAGCGAAAGCAUGGGGAGCGAACAGGAUUAGAUACCCUGGUAGUCCAUGCCGUAAACGGUGGGCGCUAGGUGUGAGUCCCUUCCACGGGGUUCGUGCCGUAGCUAACGCAUUAAGCGCCCCGCCUGGGGAGUACGGCCGCAAGG
This 825-nucleotide ribosomal RNA is filed under the name Corynebacterium sp. RNAcentral describes it as "bacterial SSU rRNA". It matches the Rfam family "Bacterial small subunit ribosomal RNA", at positions 55 to 893 of the family's 1533-position model. Lineage: Bacteria; Bacillati; Actinomycetota; Actinomycetes; Mycobacteriales; Corynebacteriaceae. The record is from RNAcentral.